RNAcentral lists this ribosomal RNA (426 nucleotides) under uncultured bacterium. RNAcentral describes it as "bacterial SSU rRNA". It matches the Rfam family "Bacterial small subunit ribosomal RNA", at positions 83 to 518 of the family's 1533-position model. The record is from RNAcentral.
CGGGGUACUCGAGCGGCGAACGGGUGAGUAACACGUGAGCAACCUGCCCAGGCUUUGGGAUAACCCGGGAAACCGGGGCUAAUACCGAAUAUGACCUCCGAUCGCAUGGUUGGUGGUGGAAAGUUUUUUCGGCUUGGGAUGGGCUCGACGGCCUAGUCAGCGUUGUUGGUCGGGGUGGACUGGCCUACCAAGGCGACGACGGGUAGCCGGCCUGAGAGGGCGACCGGCCACACUGGGACUGAGACACGGCCCAGACUCCUACGGGAGGCAGCAGUGGGGAAUAUUGCACAAUGGGCGGAAGCCUGAUGCAGCGAACGCCGCGUGAGGGAUGACGGCCUUCGGGUUGUAAACCUCUUUCAGCAGGGACGAAGCGUAAGUGACGGUACCUGCAGAAGAAGCGCCGGCCAACUACGUGCCAGCAGCAGC